AGAGCCUUCGACUCAUACGAAAUGAACACUGAAAUGACUGUACAGGCUGUAUUGGAUAAUUUGAUUGAGCCAACAGAGGAAACAGCUUCAACUAAUGAACGUGACUGCAUAGUGGAAACUGUUGUAGAAGCUUCCGAUAAUUGCCACAUUGACUUGACAUCAUAUGAUGGUGACCAUGAUCAUGAUGAUGAUGAUGAUGACAUUCACUGGCAAAUUACAGU
Long non-coding RNA from Corticium candelabrum, 221 nucleotides. RefSeq lists it as uncharacterized. The record is from RefSeq and is a predicted model, not a curated record. The transcript is spliced from 3 exons. NCBI's taxonomy places the organism in Eukaryota, Metazoa, Porifera, Homoscleromorpha, Homosclerophorida, Plakinidae.